AUGCUAAAGGAUGUUCCACUCCAAGCAACAUUUUCAAAUGGAACGAGAACAUACAGAAUAAGCAGCACCAAAGCUUCGAGGGUUAAAAACAUUUUAUCUGCUCAGGCAAUAAAAGAAGCAGAAAAAGAAAUCCCUCAUUAAAGCCAACGUCCAAAUUCCCAGUGGAGCAGCAGAUACACAAGUCAUGCAGAUCUGGCACAGGAAGUGCCUGAGCUGGAUUAUGCUCUCAUUUGUGACAAACCUGUUAACCCAGGUGCAGCUGCCAGUCCAGAUGUGCCUCUGUGACACCUGUGCAUAUCCACUGUCUAUAUCUCUCUGAGGUAUACAGCAAAAAUAAAAAUGUAAUGGGAAUUGAGGCA
This 359-nucleotide long non-coding RNA is filed under the name Coturnix japonica (Japanese quail). Its description in RNAcentral is "lncRNA (ENSCJPG00005006924.1)". The record is from RNAcentral. Lineage: Eukaryota; Metazoa; Chordata; Aves; Galliformes; Phasianidae.